GGAGGGGUGGCAGAGCGGCUUAAUGCGGCGGUCUUGAAAACCGUUGACCCGUNAGGGUCCGGGGGUUCAAAUCCCUCCCCCUCCGCGA
Molecule: transfer RNA, 88 nt
Filed under: Fidelibacterota bacterium
Lineage: Bacteria; Pseudomonadati; Fidelibacterota
Description: Candidatus Marinimicrobia bacterium tRNA-Ser
Rfam family: tRNA
About the family: Transfer RNA (tRNA) molecules are approximately 80 nucleotides in length. Their secondary structure includes four short double-helical elements and three loops (D, anti-codon, and T loops). Further hydrogen bonds mediate the characteristic L-shaped molecular structure. tRNAs have two regions of fundamental functional importance: the anti-codon, which is responsible for specific mRNA codon recognition, and the 3' end, to which the tRNAs corresponding amino acid is attached (by aminoacyl-tRNA synthetases). tRNAs cope with the degeneracy of the genetic code in two manners: having more than one tRNA (with a specific anti-codon) for a particular amino acid; and 'wobble' base-pairing, i.e. permitting non-standard base-pairing at the 3rd anti-codon position.
Source: RNAcentral